GCCGUAACGGCGGUGACCGGCUAUAGGGCCGCAGCUGGCCCCCGCUUCUGUUUCACUGCGGGGGUCAGCGCCACACCUUCGGCCCUUACAGCCUCAGAUUCUGGAAUUGCCUCCCUCCCCAUCAAAUUUUUGCAAUUUCUCUGCGUAAAAUGAAUUUUAAAUCAUAGAAUAAUUUCCUUUCGAGGAGUGGGUCAGCAGUGCGCAGCGGCAGUGGUUGUCACACGGACAAAUUGUCCGGCACCUCGAGUCCGAGGGCACAGGGAGCUGUGUGUGCUGCCAAACAGCCCUUGGGGAAGAAAAUUGUCAAGAAAAUCUUAGAAAGUAAAUGGGAAGCACAUUUGGAAGUGCAGACUUGAAGCCAGGGAAACUGCUGGUAAUGGGAGUUGGAUCAGGAGGGGCGUAGAAAAGCUCUUGCAUGAACUCCCAGCCUGAACACCUGCUGGAGUAAACCAGGAGUACUUUGUGAUGGAAUGAAGAUACAGUGCAAGAAAACCUGCAUCCUGUACAGAUACAGGCCAGAAUGGGGAAACAUAAUGAGCUUCACUUCCUGGAGACAGAUAAAGGAGGUCUGAGAUCUGGCAGAAGACAACAUAUUUCAACAGCAGUUUCCAAGUUAGUGAUCUGAACUCCUGUCCAGGCAUGCAGAGAACACAAGUGGAUGGUUUUUGGGAUUAAUGGAGAGACUACACUGAAAAAGAAGGUGGGAAAAUGGCAAAUUUGGAAGUGCUCAGCACACAGGAAAAUCAGUGUGUUUUCAUUAGUCAUCUAAAAUAGGUGUUUAUGAAUGGAAGCCAAGGAUUCUACGUGAUUGUUUUGACAAGUAGCACUGAAUGCUGUUAUAUUUUAGGUCCUGAGUUUGCAAGCUGUGAUACUCUCCUUAAUUUAAAUCCAGAGAAAUAUUCAAAACUACAAAAAUAUCAUUAGUCAUCGGUGUAGAAUGUGUGAAACAGUUUUUCAUGAGGAGAACCUGUCAUGGUUUAACCCCAGCCAGCAACAAAGUACCAUGCAGCUGCUUGCUCACUCCUCCACCAGCAGGAUGGGGAAGAGAAUCAGAAGGGUAAAAGAUAGAGAACUCAUGGGUUGAGAUAAAGACACUUUAAUAGGUAAAGCAAAAGCUGCACACACAAGCAAAACAAACCAAGGAAUUAAUUCACUGUUUCCCAAUGGCAGGCAGGUGUUCAGCUACCUUUAGGAGAGCAGCACCUCAUCCCACGCAAUGGUUACUUGAGAAGACAAAUGCCAUAAUUCUAAAUGUCCCCCCUUCCUCCUUCUUCCCCCCAUGUUAGAUACUGAGCAUGGCAUCAUCUAGU
Vidua macroura (Pin-tailed whydah) is the source of this 1310-nucleotide long non-coding RNA. RefSeq lists it as uncharacterized. NCBI's taxonomy places the organism in Eukaryota, Metazoa, Chordata, Aves, Passeriformes, Viduidae. The transcript is spliced from 3 exons. The record is from RefSeq and is a predicted model, not a curated record.